Molecule: ribosomal RNA, 472 nt
Filed under: uncultured organism
Description: partial 16S ribosomal RNA
Rfam family: Bacterial small subunit ribosomal RNA
Source: RNAcentral
CACUCCUACGGGAGGCAGCAGUGGGGAAUUUUGGACAAUGGGCGAAAGCCUGAUCCAGCAAUGCCGCGUGUGUGAAGAAGGCCUUCGGGUUGUAAAGCACUUUUGUCCGGAAAGAAAUCCUUGGCUCUAAUACAGUCGGGGGAUGACGGUACCGGAAGAAUAAGCACCGGCUAACUACGUGCCAGCAGCCGCGGUAAUACGUAGGGUGCGAGCGUUAAUCGGAAUUACUGGGCGUAAAGCGUGCGCAGGCGGUUUGCUAAGACCGAUGUGAAAUCCCCGGGCUCAACCUGGGAACUGCAUUGGUGACUGGCAGGCUAGAGUAUGGCAGAGGGGGGUAGAAUUCCACGUGUAGCAGUGAAAUGCGUAGAGAUGUGGAGGAAUACCGAUGGCGAAGGCAGCCCCCUGGGCCAAUACUGACGCUCAUGCACGAAAGCGUGGGGAGCAAACAGGAUUAGAAACCCUUGUAGUCCCA